Molecule: transfer RNA, 87 nt
Filed under: Candidatus Thiodiazotropha sp. (ex Lucinoma aequizonata)
Lineage: Bacteria; Pseudomonadati; Pseudomonadota; Gammaproteobacteria; Chromatiales; Sedimenticolaceae
Description: tRNA-Leu
Rfam family: tRNA
About the family: Transfer RNA (tRNA) molecules are approximately 80 nucleotides in length. Their secondary structure includes four short double-helical elements and three loops (D, anti-codon, and T loops).
Source: RNAcentral
GCCCGGGUGGCGAAAUUGGUAGAUGCAAGAGACUUAAAAUCUCUCGACCUUUGGGUCGUGCCGGUUCGAUUCCGGCCUCGGGUACCA